RNAcentral lists this ribosomal RNA (253 nucleotides) under uncultured bacterium. RNAcentral describes it as "partial 16S ribosomal RNA". It matches the Rfam family "Bacterial small subunit ribosomal RNA", at positions 524 to 776 of the family's 1533-position model. The record is from RNAcentral.
UACAGAGGGUGCAAGCGUUGAUCGGAAUUACUGGGCGUAAAGCGUGCGUAGGCGGUUACAUAAGUCGGGUGUGAAAGCCCCGGGCUCAACCUGGGAAUUGCAUUCGAGACUGCGUAGCUAGGGUGCGGAAGAGGGAAGCGGAAUUUCCGGUGUAGCGGUGAAAUGCGUAGAUAUCGGGAGGAACACCAGUGGCGAAAGCGGCUUCCUGGUCCAGCACCGACGCUCAGGCGCGAAAGCGUGGGGAGCAAACAGG